AUGGCGCGUACGAAGCAGACCGCUCGCAAGUCCACCGGCGGCAAGGCCCCCCGCAAACAGCUCGCCACCACCAUCGCGGCGAGGAAGUCGGCCCCGACCACCGGCGGCGUGAAGAAGCCCCACCGCUACAGGCCCGGCACGGUGGCGCUGAGGGAGAUCCGCAAGUACCAGAAGAGCACGGAUCUGCUCAUCCGCAAGCUGCCCUUCCAGCGCCUGGUGCGGGAGAUCGCCCAGGACUUCAAGACGGAUCUGCGGUUCCAGAGCCACGCCGUGCUCGCGCUCCAGGAGGCCGCCGAGGCGUACCUCGUCGGGCUGUUCGAGGACACCAACCUCUGCGCCAUCCACGCGAAACGCGUCACCAUCAUGCCUAAGGACAUCCAGCUCGCCCGCCGCAUCCGUGGCGAACGCGCCUAA
RNAcentral lists this ribosomal RNA (414 nucleotides) under Triticum aestivum (bread wheat). RNAcentral describes it as "partial small subunit ribosomal RNA". The record is from RNAcentral. Lineage: Eukaryota; Viridiplantae; Streptophyta; Magnoliopsida; Poales; Poaceae.